This 1496-nucleotide ribosomal RNA is filed under the name uncultured prokaryote. RNAcentral's name for it is "partial 16S ribosomal RNA". It matches the Rfam family "Bacterial small subunit ribosomal RNA". The record is from RNAcentral.
GAGUUUGAUCAUGGCUCAGAUUGAACGCUGGCGGUAGGCCUAACACAUGCAAGUCGAGCGAGAACGCCCCUUCGGGUGUUAUGAGAGUGGCGGACGGGGGAGGAACGCGUGGGAAUCUACCCAGUAGCGGGGGGUAACUUGUGGAAACGCAAGCUAAUACCGCAUACGCCCUAAUGGGGGAAAGCAGGGGAUCUUCGGACCUUGCGCUAUUGGAGAAGCCUGCGUCGGAUUAGCUAGUUGGUGGGAGGUAAAGGCUCAAAGGCAACGAUCCGUAGCUGGUCUGAGAGGAUGAUCAGCCACACUGGGACUGAGACACGGCCCAGACUCCUACGGGAGGCAGCAGUGGGGAAUAUUGGACAAUGGGCGCAAGCCUGAUCCAGCCAUACCGCGUGUGUGAAGAAGGCCUUCGGGUUGUAAAGCACUUUAAGCAGGGAGAAAAAGUUAUAAGUUAAUACCUUAUAAGCUUGACGUUACCAACAGAAUAAGCACCGGCUAACUCCGUGCCAGCAGCCGCGGUAAUACGGAGGGUGCAAGCGUUAAUCGGAAUUACUGGGCGUAAAGCGCGCGUAGGUGGUUAGGUAAGUUGGAUGUGAAAGCCCCGGGCUUAACCUGGGAACUGCAUUCAAAACUGCCUAGCUAGAGUACGAUAGAGGGGGGUAGAAUUUCAGGUGUAGCGGUGAAAUGCGUAGAGAUCUGAAGGAAUACCAGUGGCGAAGGCGGCCCCCUGGAUUGAUACUGACACUGAGGUGCGAAAGCGUGGUAGCAAACAGGAUUAGAUACCCUGGUAGUCCAUGCCGUAAACGAUGUCAACUAGCCGUUGGAAGACUUGAUCUUUUAGUGGCGCAGCUAACGCAAUAAGUUGACCGCCUGGGGAGUACGGCCGCAAGGUUAAAACUCAAAUGAAUUGACGGGGGCCCGCACAAGCGGUGGAGCAUGUGGUUUAAUUCGAUGCAACGCGAAGAACCUUACCAGGUCUUGACAUCCCGAUAAGUCGCUAGAGAUAGCUUCGUGCCUUCGGGAACUCGGUGACAGGUGCUGCAUGGCUGUCGUCAGCUCGUGUCGUGAGAUGUUGGGUUAAGUCCCGUAACGAGCGCAACCCUUGUCCUUUGUUGCCAGCACGUAAUGGUGGGAACUCAAAGGAGACUGCCGGUGACAAACCGGAGGAAGGUGGGGACGACUUUAAGUCAUCAGGGCCCUUACGACCUGGGCUACACACGUGCUACAAUGGCCGGUACAGAGGGCUGCUAACCCGCGAGGGGGCGCGAAUCCCAGAAAACCGGUCGUAGUCCGGAUCGCAGUCUGCAACUCGACUGCGUGAAGUCGGAAUCGCUAGUAAUCGCGAAUCAGAAUGUCGCGGUGAAUACGUUCCCGGGCCUUAUACACACCGCCCGUCACACCACGGGAGUGGGUUGCAAAAGAAGUCGGUAGUCUAACCUUCGGGAGGACGCUCACCACUUUGUGAUUCAUGACUGGGGUGAAGUCGGAACAAGGUAACC